GUCUUUGGCCAUACCAGCCUGAACGCGCCCGACCCCGUCUCCUCUCGGAAGCUAAGCAGGGUCGGGCCUGCGUAGUACUUGGAUGGGAGACCGCCUGGGAACACCGGGUGCUGUAGGCU
This is a ribosomal RNA of Moschus moschiferus (Siberian musk deer), 119 nucleotides long. The record is from Ensembl. NCBI's taxonomy places the organism in Eukaryota, Metazoa, Chordata, Mammalia, Artiodactyla, Moschidae.